CCUACGGGAGGCAGUAGUAGGGAAUUUUCCGCAAUGGGCGAAAGCCUGACGGAGCAAUACCGCGUGAGGGAUGACUGCCUAUGGGUUGUAAACCUCUUUUUUCAGGGAGGAAUAAAUGACGUGUACCUGAAGAAUAAGCAUCGGCUAACUCCGUGCCAGCAGCCGCGGUAAGACGGAGGAUGCAAGUGUUAUCCGGAAUCACUGGGCGUAAAGCGUCUGUAGGUGGCUCGACAAGUCAACUGUUAAAUCUUGAAGCUCAACUUCAAAAUCGCAGUCGAAACUAUCGGACUAGAGUAUAGUAGAGGUAAAGGGAAUUUCCAGUGGAGCGGUGAAAUGCGUAGAGAUUGGAAAGAACACCGAUGGCGAAGGCACUUUACUGGGCUAUUACUGACACUCAGAGACGAAAGCUAGGGUAGCAAAUGGGAUUAGAUACCCCAGUAGUCCUAGCCGUAAACAAUGGAUACUAGGUGUUGAACAGAUCGACCUGUGCAGUACCAAAGCUAACGCGUUAAGUAUCCCGCCUGGGAAGUAUGCACGCAAGUGUGAAACUCAAAUGAAUUGACGG
Molecule: ribosomal RNA, 565 nt
Filed under: uncultured bacterium
Lineage: Bacteria
Description: bacterial SSU rRNA
Rfam family: Bacterial small subunit ribosomal RNA
Source: RNAcentral